RNAcentral lists this long non-coding RNA (377 nucleotides) under Nicotiana benthamiana. RNAcentral's name for it is "long non-coding RNA (NBEN_LNC026447)". Lineage: Eukaryota; Viridiplantae; Streptophyta; Magnoliopsida; Solanales; Solanaceae. The record is from RNAcentral.
UAUUAUCAGUCGAUCAAACAAGAUAGUGAUGCAAUACCAAUAAAGCAUCCAUAACUCAAACACAUUGCCCUUUCAAAAAUGUAUACCCUCAUCAAGCCACACCAAUAAGUGAUUUUAUUUAUCUAGACAACUGAAGCUGCCUAUACUAUCAAAGACUUUGUGACCUUCCUUUCAAAUAUGAACUCUGGUCUUUGAUCGCGGCCUACUCUGCACAACUAAUUAUGUAGAGAGAGAGGGUUGGAGCAGCUUUUACCCGAUUUUGGGUCGGGAUCGAUAUCCACAGAGAGCUAGAAUUGGAGUAAAGUAUCUAUCUAGUUUAGGAUUACAUGUGUUCCAAAUUACACUCCUCAUCAUUUUUGGGGGUUUUGCUAUAAUUC